AGAGUUUGAUCCUGGCUCAGAGCGAACGCUGGCGGCAGGCCUAACACAUGCAAGUCGAGCGCCCCGCAAGGGGAGCGGCGGACGGGUGAGUAACACGUGGGAACGUGCCCUUCGGUUCGGGAUAACUCAGGGAAACUUGAGCUAACACCGGAUACGCCCUUCGGGGGAAAGGUUACGCCGUUGGAGCGGCCCGCGUUGGAUUAGCUUGUUGGUGGGGUAAUGGCCCACCAAGGCGACGAUCCAUAGCUGGUCUGAGAGGAUGAUCAGCCACACUGGGACUGAGACACGGCCCAGACUCCUACGGGAGGCAGCAGUGGGGAAUCUUGCGCAAUGGGCGAAAGCCUGACGCAGCCAUGCCGCGUGAAUGAUGAAGGUCUUAGGAUUGUAAAAUUCUUUCAGCGGGGACGAUAAUGACGGUACCCGCAGAAGAAGCCCCGGCUAACUUCGUGCCAGCAGCCGCGGUAAUACGAAGGGGGCUAGCGUUGCUCGGAUUUACUGGGCGUAAAGGGCGCGUAGGCGGAUGACCAAGUUGGGGGUGAAAUCCCGGGGCUUAACCUCGGAACUGCCUCCAAAACUGGUCGUCUUGAGUUUGGGAGAGGUGUGUGGAACUCCGAGUGUAGAGGUGAAAUUCGUAGAUAUUCGGAAGAACACCAGUGGCGAAGGCGACACCUGGCCCAAUACUGAGCUGAGGCGCGAAAGCGUGGGGAGCAAACAGGAUUAGAUACCCUAGUAGUCC
This 736-nucleotide ribosomal RNA is filed under the name uncultured bacterium. Its description in RNAcentral is "bacterial SSU rRNA". It matches the Rfam family "Bacterial small subunit ribosomal RNA", at positions 8 to 796 of the family's 1533-position model. The record is from RNAcentral.